CUCAGUUUUUGAUAUCUACAAGGUCAAAAUUGGUUUAUUCCACUAUGCAAUGCAACACUCUUACCUAAUGUUAUCCAUUUAUUCAUUCAUGUUACUAAUUUCUCAUUCUUACACCCUGCAGCGCUACAACAGUACACAAGUCUUACACAAUGUGUUAUGGGUCACGUUCCUGCUUCUCCUCCUGCUGUGCGGACUGAGUGCAUGGCGGAGCACAUCAACAGGUGUUCUCUCUCCGCUGCGGGUGUGCCUCUGCAAGAGAUCUGCAAUCAACACACCUGCCCGUGAUGAGCAACCAGCCUUCAUAAUCCAGCGCGUCUUGAGAUCCGGUGCCAGAACGUAGUUUCUCCUACCAGUACACUUCCUCGUCGUCUACCUGGACCCACUUUGGAUUCCCUCUUGCCUUCCUGGACCAAGACCUCGCUCCUGCCCUCUGACGUCCAAGCCUUUUUCUUCUUUUGGACUUCCACCUCUAUCUCAACACGCACACUCAACACCCUCUGGUGACCACGCUCAGAUAAUACUUACACAUAGUCACACUCCAUCUCUUUAAGGUAAUCACACACUGCACUCACAUACUGAGUUGUCAAUAAACACGCUGGCAGCUAA
This is a long non-coding RNA of Nerophis ophidion (straightnose pipefish), 606 nucleotides long. RefSeq lists it as uncharacterized. NCBI's taxonomy places the organism in Eukaryota, Metazoa, Chordata, Actinopteri, Syngnathiformes, Syngnathidae. The transcript is spliced from 2 exons. The record is from RefSeq and is a predicted model, not a curated record.